Molecule: ribosomal RNA, 1298 nt
Filed under: gut metagenome
Description: bacterial SSU rRNA
Rfam family: Bacterial small subunit ribosomal RNA
Source: RNAcentral
AGAGGGAAAAGGAGCAAUCCGCUUUGAGAUGGCCUCGCGUCCGAUUAGCUAGUUGGUGAGGUAACGGCCCACCAAGGCGACGAUCGGUAGCCGGACUGAGAGGUUGAACGGCCACAUUGGGACUGAGACACGGCCCAGACUCCUACGGGAGGCAGCAGUGGGGAAUAUUGCACAAUGGGGGAAACCCUGAUGCAGCGACGCCGCGUGGAGGAAGAAGGUCUUCGGAUUGUAAACUCCUGUUGUUGAGGAAGAUAAUGACGGUACUCAACAAGGAAGUGACGGCUAACUACGUGCCAGCAGCCGCGGUAAAACGUAGGUCACAAGCGUUGUCCGGAAUUACUGGGUGUAAAGGGAGCGCAGGCGGGAAGACAAGUUGGAAGUGAAAUCUAUGGGCUCAACCCAUAAACUGCUUUCAAAACUGUUUUUCUUGAGUAGUGCAGAGGUAGGCGGAAUUCCCGGUGUAGCGGUGGAAUGCGUAGAUAUCGGGAGGAACACCAGUGGCGAAGGCGGCCUACUGGGCACCAACUGACGCUGAGGCUCGAAAGUGUGGGUAGCAAACAGGAUUAGAUACCCUGGUAGUCCACACUGUAAACGAUGAUUACUAGGUGUUGGAGGAUUGACCCCUUCAGUGCCGCAGUUAACACAAUAAGUAAUCCACCUGGGGAGUACGACCGCAAGGUUGAAACUCAAAGGAAUUGACGGGGGCCCGCACAAGCAGUGGAGUAUGUGGUUUAAUUCGACGCAACGCGAAGAACCUUACCAAGUCUUGACAUCCUGCGACGCACAUAGAAAUAUGUGUUUCCUUCGGGACGCAGAGACAGGUGGUGCAUGGUUGUCGUCAGCUCGUGUCGUGAGAUGUUGGGUUAAGUCCCGCAACGAGCGCAACCCUUAUGGUCAGUUACUACGCAAGAGGACUCUGGCCAGACUGCCGUUGACAAAACGGAGGAAGGUGGGGAUGACGUCAAAUCAUCAUGCCCUUUAUGACUUGGGCUACACACGUACUACAAUGGCGUUAAACAAAGAGAAGCAAGACCGCGAGGUGGAGCAAAACUCAGAAACAACGUCCCAGUUCGGACUGCAGGCUGCAACUCGCCUGCACGAAGUCGGAAUUGCUAGUAAUCGUGGAUCAGCAUGCCACGGUGAAUACGUUCCCGGGCCUUGUACACACCGCCCGUCACACCAUGAGAGCCGGGGGGACCCGAAGUCGGUAGUCUAACCGCAAGGAGGACGCCGCCGAAGGUAAAACUGGUGAUUGGGGUGAAGUCGUAACAAGGUAGCCGUAGGAGAACCUGCGGCUG